UUUGUUCCCUCGACUCCAACUUCCCCGAUUUCAGUUGUGCCUUGUCAAAUGUCCAAACAGGACGUUUGGACAAGGCGUGGUGAGUACAGGGAGGUAAUCUCCACGUCGGUUUGAUCAACAAGGUGCAAGUGAAAUUGGAAUAGGAAGUUGGUCGGAGAGCGGCU
Molecule: regulatory RNA element, 164 nt
Organism: Paraglaciecola sp.
Lineage: Bacteria; Pseudomonadati; Pseudomonadota; Gammaproteobacteria; Alteromonadales; Alteromonadaceae
Source: Rfam